AGCGCCUACGGGACGCAGCAGUGGGGAAUAUUGCACAAUGGGGGGAACCCUGAUGCAGCGACGCCGCGUGAGUGAAGAAGUAUUUCGGUAUGUAAAGCUCUGUCAGCAGGGAGGAAGAAAGACGGUACCUGACCAAGAAGCCCCGGCUAACUACGUGCCAGCAGCCGCGGUAAUACGUAGGGGGCAAGCGUUAUCCGGAUUUACUGGUUGUAAAGGGAGCGUAGACGGCAGGGCAAGUCUGGAGUGUAAGGCAGGGGCCCAACCCCUGGACUGCUCUGGAAACUGUCCGGCUGGAGUGCAGGGGG
Molecule: ribosomal RNA, 305 nt
Filed under: uncultured bacterium
Lineage: Bacteria
Description: bacterial SSU rRNA
Rfam family: Bacterial small subunit ribosomal RNA
Source: RNAcentral